Molecule: ribosomal RNA, 1505 nt
Filed under: metagenome
Description: bacterial SSU rRNA
Rfam family: Bacterial small subunit ribosomal RNA
Source: RNAcentral
AGAGUUUGAUUCUGGCUCAGAACGAACGCUGGCUGCGUGGAUAAGACAUGCAAGUCGAACGCUGAUUUAUCCGGUAGCAAUACUGGGUGAGUCGGAGUGGCGAAAGGGUGCGUAACACGUGAGAAUCUGCCGGGAAGUGGGUAAUAGCUCGCCGAAAGGCGAAUUAAUACCGCAUGUGGUCGCAAGACCAAAGAGGGGGACCGCAAGGCCUCUCGCUUCCUGACGAGCUCGCGGCCUAUCAGCUAGUUGGCGGGGUAAAAGCCCACCAAGGCGAUGACGGGUAGCUGGUCUGAGAGGACGACCAGCCACACUGGAACUGAGACACGGUCCAGACACCUACGGGUGGCAGCAGUCGAGAAUUUUUCACAAUGGGGGCAACCCUGAUGGAGCGACGCCGCGUGGAGGAAGAAGGUUUUCGGAUUGUAAACUCCUGUCACUUCAGAACAAGAGCACGUCAUUUAAUACCUGAUGUGUUUGAUGGUAUGAGGAGAGCAAGGGACGGCUAACUCUGUGCCAGCAGCCGCGGUAAUACAGAGGUCCCGAGCGUUGUUCGGAUUCAUUGGGCGUAAAGGGUGUGUAGGAGGCUAGGUAAGUCAGGUGUGAAAUCUCGUCGCUUAACGACGAAAUGGCAUUUGAUACUGCUUGGCUAGAGGAUCGGAGGGGGCAACGGAAUUCUUGGUGUAGCAGUGAAAUGCGUAGAUAUCAAGAGGAACACCGGUGGCGUAGGCGGUUGCCUGGAAGAUUCCUGACUCUGAAACACGAAAGCUAGGGGAGCAAACGGGAUUAGAUACCCCGGUAGUCCUAGCCGUAAACGGUGUGCAUUAGGUGUGUGCGGAUUCGACCCCGUACGUGCCGUCGAUAACUCAUUAAAUGCACCGCCUGGGAAGUACGGUCGCAAGAUUAAAACUCAAAGAAAUUGACGGGGGCCCGCACAAGCGGUGGAGUAUGUGGCUUAAUUCGAUGCAACGCGAAGAACCUUACCUAGCCUUGACAUGUUUGUGGUAGCUCGGAUGAAAGUUUGAGCGACCCCGCAAGGGGAGCAAGCACAGGUGCUGCAUGGCUGUCGUCAGCUCGUGUCGUGGGAUGUUGGGUUAAGUCCCGCAACGAGCGCAACCCCUAUGAUUAGUUGCUUUAAUCGGCUCUCUAGUCAGACUGCCCUGUGAAACGGGGAGGAAGGUGGGGAUGACGUCAAGUCAGGAUGGCCCUUACGGCUAGGGCUGCACGCGUACUACAAUGCUCAGUACAGAGGGUUGCAAGACCGCGAGGUGGAGCUAAUCCCAGAAAACUGAGCCCAGUUCGGAUUGGAGGCUGCAACUCGCCUCCAUGAAGCCGGAAUCGCUAGUAAUGGCGCAUCAGCUACGGCGCCGUGAAUACGUUCCCGGGCCUUGUACACACCGCCCGUCACAUCAUGAAAGCCUGUUGUACCCGAAGUGCGUGCGCCAACCUGCAAAGGAGGCAGCGCCCUAAGGUAUGGCCGGUGAUUGGGAUGAAGUCGUAACAAGGUA